Oryctolagus cuniculus (rabbit) is the source of this 291-nucleotide unclassified non-coding RNA. It matches the Rfam family "Metazoan signal recognition particle RNA". Rfam says of the family: The signal recognition particle (SRP) is a universally conserved ribonucleoprotein. It is involved in the co-translational targeting of proteins to membranes. The record is from Ensembl. Lineage: Eukaryota; Metazoa; Chordata; Mammalia; Lagomorpha; Leporidae.
GCCGGGCGCGGUGGCGCGCGCCUGUAGUCCCAGCUACUCGGGAGGCUGAGGCCGGAGGAUCGCUUGAGUCCAGGAGUUCUGGGCUGUCGUGCGCUAUGCCGAUCGGGUGUCCGCACUAAGUUCGGCAUCAAUAUGGUGACCUCCCGGGAGCGGGGGACCACCAGGUUGCCUAAGGAGGGGUGAACCGGCCCAGGUCGGAAACGGAGCAGGUCAAAACUCCCGUGCUGAUCAGAAAUGUCGGCUUCGAGAAGACAUGUUAGUAGCUUGACUUUGGCCAUAGUGGAAGCAGUU